UUGAAGCAAGGGUCCCGUCAG
This 21-nucleotide non-coding RNA is filed under the name Rattus norvegicus (Norway rat). The record is from RNAcentral. Lineage: Eukaryota; Metazoa; Chordata; Mammalia; Rodentia; Muridae.